Molecule: long non-coding RNA, 1187 nt
Filed under: Strigops habroptila (Kakapo)
Lineage: Eukaryota; Metazoa; Chordata; Aves; Psittaciformes; Psittacidae
Description: lncRNA (ENSSHBG00005004377.1)
Source: RNAcentral
GGAGAGGAAUCAUCCUUAUGUUCGCUGUGUUCUGUUACCAAUUUAUUCAAGAAAGAAGGAAAUGGACAUGAAAGCAGAAGUUGCAACUGUCAAACCAAAUGUUACUGUAUUGGAUCAAUCACAGAGCUUAGUGGGUUUAACUGCUAGAUGAAGAGUCUCAGAUUAACUAUAUGAUGAAGGUACACUUCUCGACACUAUUUGGCAGAUGCCUACCAGGUCUCACACACAUGGUAGUAUUAAAUACGUGUAUUAGACUCAUAUUUGUAACAUAAGCAUACAAUCAUGCCUGUGCUAGGUCAGAACAAGGAUCCUCCAACCCUGAAGUUUUUUCUCCACAGUGGUUAUAGGCCAGGAAGAGCAAGUCCUUCCCCUGAACACUGUCCUUGGCUCCAACUACAUUUAGUUUGGGGGAUUUUCUGAGCCAUGUAUGUGUUCUUUAUAUUUAAAGAAUAUAACGAAAACCAGCUUAAACAACGACACCAAGCCAAAUAGAUCUCUGCUCUGAAUUUUGUUCAGUCUUCCCUUGAAUUCAUGCCAGCUUGAAGCAGGCAAAGUUCAGCAGGUCUGCUUUUUCUUUGCAUGAAGCAUUGGAGUGCAGAGGGAUCCCGGGAAGGAUAAAGCACCUGGUUCCUAGCAGCUUUGUUUGAUUCUUCCCAACAGCUACAUGUUGCACACCUUUUCUUUUUUUUUUCCCCUUCAUUAGAAUUCUAUGUAUUUGCAGUUUUUCUGUCAGUUUUAAUAGGAUGGCUGAGAUUUUUAGUACAAAAUAAGUGAAAGUUUGGUCGAGACUAGUGAAAGUUUCAGUUAAAGUAAAAACUGAAGCAAUGGGCUUAUUUUAUUUUCAUUAAUACUAAAAUUGAAAACUUCUGCUCACAUAAAGGCAUUAUUGUGAAAAGCAUUAAAAUUGUACUGGCCUUAUCGUCCAAUUCAGGAUAAGCUUCCCAAUCACAAUUAAGAGAUUUCUCCAUAAAUCCAGAUUGUAUUUUUGGAUCAAUUUAUUUUCCCUAUUCAUUUUGAGAAGGAAUGUCAUAACUGGUAACACUGACCUUUAAGCACCAACAGAUAAAUGCUAAUUUCUGUCCUUCUUUUGGCUAGUGGUUUAUGGCAAAUCAUCACCAAAUGACACUGAAACCUUUUUAACUACGCAGUUCUUAUCAGUUUAGACAUCUUCCUGCCUUCAACCACAU